This is a long non-coding RNA of Scylla paramamosain (green mud crab), 2935 nucleotides long. RefSeq lists it as uncharacterized. The record is from RefSeq and is a predicted model, not a curated record. The transcript is spliced from 12 exons. Lineage: Eukaryota; Metazoa; Arthropoda; Malacostraca; Decapoda; Portunidae.
GAGCGUGCGAGCAGGUGCGGUGUUGUGUGUUCCUCAGUGCAGGGCAAGGCUGCGGGUGCUCUCCCCCAGGGCAGUGUUUGAUGGCGCCCCUGGGAUUAUGAGUGAGGCAGGUGACAUCCCCCCCCUGCCCCCCGCCCGCUCCCUCUCCCCCAGGUCGUUCGAAACAGUUGGGCAAAAUAAUAAUGUCAGAAGAAAGAGUAAGCUGUGAAGGAAGAACAUCUGUCAUAAAGUGUUACUGGAGGCACGAAAAUGUCAAAGAAGUGCAAAGACAAUUCAGAAGACACUUUGACAGGGAUCCACCAAGAUUUGCAUCAACCACCAGCAGCAGCAGCAGCAGCAGCAGCAGCAGCAGCAUGGCAGUAGUAGCAGGAGUAGUGAAUGGUCACACGUAUGUGGUGACUACUUGGACUAUCAGGCCGCCAUUGUAGUGUGCUGGACUAUUGGUCAACAAUGAGCCGAGAAAGUUACGUGGUACAACUAUUUCGGCGAUAGUAGUGGCUGUUAAGAACGUGGCGAGGCGAAGGUUUACCCCGGCGGCCAUCUUUGUUUUGGGAAUGGUCUUGUUCUAUUGGAUGAACAGAACUGUGAGAUUUGCAUCAACCAUCACCAGCAGCAGUAGCAGCAGCAGCAAGGCAGUAGUAGCAGGAGUAGUGAAUGGUCACACGUAUGUGGUGACUACUUGGACUAUCAGGCCGCCCUUGUAGUGUGCUGGACUAUUGGUCAACAAUGAGCCGAGAAAGUUACUUAGUACAACAAUUUCGGCGAUAGUAGUGGCUAGUUGCCGAUCCAAAGGCCUGGUUUAAGAGUGAUCCCGAGCUAUCUGUACCAUCAAGAUCAAGAUCGAGCGUCCAUAUCAGAUGGCGAGUCUGCUUACAAAAUUGCAUCGGAGGGACUGAUAGAGGUAGCCACAAUUAUCCAUCAUCAUCGGCGACACCAUGGCUCUUGAGAAGAUAGACAGACCCUGAUGACAGCGUGGUGAGCGAGGAGGGGGAGUCAACCAGCAGAGUGGGGGAGCAUGACCCCUACUUUGAACCAGUGGUGACCUUGCUGGAGGUCUUCGUGGUUAGUGAUGAUGACCAGGAGGAGGAAAUGAUAACACUGAGUUUCGAGGUCAGGUCAGGCAGUACAAGCUGUUUCAUUAUCACACCUCUGAGUCGCCUCCACAGUGGAAGGAACGGGGCAUGGGGGCCAUUAACAUUCUGAGGAACAAGCAGAAGGCUGUGGAGUUUGUUCAGCGGCAGAAUUAAUGCCAGUGGCUGAGUUCAGAUCCUCCAAGACACACACACACACACACAGCAGCCCCUCCACCUCCCCACAGCCCUCCACAGUCUCUGACACAGCCCCUGACACAGCAUCUGACACAGCCCCUUCACAGACCACCACAUAUCUCACACAUACAUAAGAACAUAAGAAAUAAGGGAAGCUGCAAGAAGCGACCAGGCUUACACGUGGCAGUCCCUGUAUGAAAUAUACCUACUUAUUUCCAUCUGUUAUCCCCAUCCAUAAACUUGUCUAAUCUUCUCUUAAAGCUCUCUAGUGUCCUAGCACUAACUACAUGAUUACUGAGUCCAUUCCAAUCAUCUAUCACUCUUUUUGAGAACCAAUUUUUUUUCUUAUCUCCUUCCUAAACCUAAAUUUUUUAAGCUUGUACCCAUUAUUUCUUUUUCUACCCUGGUUGCUGAUCCUAAGAAUUUUGCCUACAUCCCCCUUAUGUCACUCAAAGACUUCUAUCAGGUCCCCUCUUAACCUACGUAUCUCUAAAGAAUGUAAAUUUAACAGCUUCAACCUCGCCUUGUAAGGAAUACUCCUCAUCCCCUGUAUCCUUUUAGUCAUUCUUCUCUGUACUGAUUCUAAUAGACCUAUAUCUUUCCUGUAAUGUGGGGACCAGAACUGCACAGCGUAGUCUAGAUGAGGUCUGACCAGCACCAAGUAUAACUUUAAUAUUACUUUGGGCCUUCUACUUUUAACACUCCUAAAAAUCACACACACCACAAGAGCCUCACAAACAGUCUCACAGCCUUCACAAGCAGCCCCACACUCCACCACAGACACACCAGACCCACAGCCCUUCACCUCACCCACUUCCCAGCCCCCCACAGCCCCCCAGCCACCACAAAUGAAGUCAAAGGAAGGGACUGUGGCUUCACCCAGCCAGCCAGGACAGCCUACAGAGAGGGGGUAGUCCCAGUCAAGUCACAAAAUAUAGGCUUGGUUCUUCCUACAGUUUGAAGUCAAUGAUUGGACAGGCCAGACAGCUUAGUGGCAGAGCUGCAGGUGGCCCUCGUCAGCUUCCUGGUGGCACAGGUGUAGGAUGGCUGGGAGCAGUGGAGGUGCCUGAUGGGGCAGCUGUGCCGGGCAGAGGGGCUGCUACUGCUGCUGGGGAGAGCCACACUUGUAUGGUGGUAACACGGAGAGGAAGUGGAAGAAACCUUGGGACGCUCCCAUAACUCAGGAGCAAGAAUUACACCUUACUGGAACCUUGUGACUGACAGGUGGUGGUGACUGCAGGAACCAAUUCAGGUGAACAUUGUGUUUUGUUGCUACACUUGAGAAUCCUCUAUCCUAAAUAAAAAAUUGGCAAACUUUUUUUUAUUUUCUGGCCAAUCCUGUUUACCUUGAGGGCAUGACCUGUACUCUGCCAGAAACUUUAUUCCCUGGCCAAUUAUUAUUAUUAUUUUUUUUUUUAUAUUACCCUGAGGGCAUGACCUGUACUCUCAGAAAGAUUGCCUGAAACUUUAUUUCCUGGCCAAUUAUUAUUAUUUUUUUUUUAUAUUACCUUGAGGGCAUGACCUGUACUCUCUGAAAGGUUGGCAAACAAAGAUACUAUUGACAUGUCAUUAUGUUCAAGAUUGUACACAAGAUGGAAUACUGAAUGUUUAUUGUUUUACUGUGAAUGUUAAGUGAAUAAUAAAUACACAACAGGAUAAUAAACAUG